Molecule: ribosomal RNA, 253 nt
Filed under: uncultured bacterium
Lineage: Bacteria
Description: partial 16S ribosomal RNA
Rfam family: Bacterial small subunit ribosomal RNA
Source: RNAcentral
UACGUAGGGGGCAAGCGUUAUCCGGAUUUACUGGGUGUAAAGGGGGCGCAGACGGCGCGGCAAGUCCGGAGUGAAAUCCCAGGGCCCAACCCUGGGGCUGCUCUGGAAACUGCCGGGCUGGAGUGCUGGAGGGGCAGGCGGAAUUCCUAGUGUAGCGGUGAAAUGCGUAGAUAUUAGGAGGAACACCGGUGGCGAAGGCGGCCUGCUGGACAGCGACUGACGUUGAGGCCCGAAAGCGUGGGGAGCUAACAGG